Lupinus albus (white lupine) is the source of this 299-nucleotide non-coding RNA. The record is from the annotation of a GenBank genome assembly. Lineage: Eukaryota; Viridiplantae; Streptophyta; Magnoliopsida; Fabales; Fabaceae.
CCUGCGCCCACUGACCGCCGCGCGUGGCUUCCGCUUCCGGGUCACCUAACGCUACACCUCACUUGCUCUGUCCAAACCUGAAGCCGUCUAACCUAAGGUCACUAUUCGGAGAAUAGGUUGUAAGACCGGAUAUUCCGUAUUAGAAUGAAGGCUGUAGGCGCGCUGUGCUAAUAGAAGAAGAGGAUCUUGCUCGCUUUUCUCUAAAGGGCUAGUCCUGGUUCUGUUAAGGGCCUAGUUCUGGACUUGCUCGACCAAGUGUUAAAGGUUGGAAGUAGAUUCUAGUGUGAUGGAGUUGGCGC